UUAUUUAAGGGUUAACAGCCAAGAGAAGCUCUAUCCCUGGAAACAGAUCUUUGAGCUCCCACAUACUUAUUUCCUGUGACAGAUAUCUACAGUAAUCUACAGAAAGAAUCGUUAUGUAUUGGAACAAGGUGCCCAGGGAAGCGGUAGAAUCACUGUCCUGGAAGUGUUCAAGAAAUACACAGAUGUGGUCUUUUGCCUCUGCCUGUUGAAAGUAAAAAUUGGGAUUUGGGAAUGGGAUCGUUUAAAAACUCAAGGAUUCAAAAUGGAAAACACUGAUACGAAAAGGCAUGAAAUCCUACAGAGAAAUAGAAGAAGAAACCAUCUGUUCGUCAGGUUAAACCAUUAAUGCCAUCGGCAUUGGUGGAGCCAAUGAAGUUGGCAAUUCCAGAUGUGGUGAGGAUCAGUCCCAGGGAAUCUUGGAAACUGCUCCUUCCCCUCCUGCCUACCUGGCAACGGCUCUGGGUGCCUUGUCAGGCAGGGAUGAUGCCUGCACUAAGGCUUUGCAUAAUGGUUUGAUGAAACUUUUUGUGUGAUCUGAUCAAUAAUUGUUUUAUACUUUUUGAAUGCAUAUAACUUGUCUAAACUUAUGCCUUACUAAAUAUACCUGAAGAAGCUGACCCCAGAGAUGAUCUGUAACACCUUCAGUGGUCUCCUUCAUCAAAUUAACCUUUUACUCAGCAGGGCUAAGUAAGCCAGGGCACUGAGAAUGUCUACUUACUUUCUUCAGGUAGGCUUCUGAGGCUUUCCUUAGCAACAUGUAACUGCACUCAGAAUAGGUUAACCCAGACUGUAACCUGUACUCAGACUAUGUGACUUCAAAACUAGCCUAAGCAUUUCUAAAUGAACAGGAGAUCUGAAUUAACAGAGAUAUACACAGACCUACGUAAAUAAACAGCCUGUAACAAACAAAGCAGAAUUUAUUUAGAACAUUUAUUCAGUAAAUUGUCUGUAUU
Long non-coding RNA from Gallus gallus (chicken), 953 nucleotides. Lineage: Eukaryota; Metazoa; Chordata; Aves; Galliformes; Phasianidae. The record is from Ensembl.